Molecule: ribosomal RNA, 992 nt
Filed under: uncultured marine eubacterium HstpL82
Lineage: Bacteria
Description: bacterial SSU rRNA
Rfam family: Bacterial small subunit ribosomal RNA
Source: RNAcentral
GCAGGCCUAACACAUGCAAGUCGAACGAACCUUUUAGGUGAGUGGCGCACGGGUGCGUAACGCGUGGGAAUAUACCCUUGACUGCGGAACAACGUCUGGAAACGGACGCUAAUACCGCAUAAUGACUCCGGUCCAAAGAUUUAUCGGUCAAGGAUUAGCCCGCGUCUGAUUAGCUAGUUGGUAGGGUAAAAGCCUACCAAGGCAUCGAUCAGUAGCUGGUCUGAGAGGACGACCAGCCACACUGGAACUGAGACACGGUCCAGACUCCUACGGGAGGCAGCAGUGGGGAAUUUUGGACAAUGGGCGAAAGCCUGAUCCAGCAAUGCCGCGUGAGUGAAGAAGGCCUUCGGGUUGUAAAGCUCUUUUGUCAGGGAAGAAACGGUGAGAGCUAAUAUCUCUUGCUAAUGACGGUACCUGAAGAAUAAGCACCGGCUAACUACGUGCCAGCAGCCGCGGUAAUACGUAGGGUGCAAGCGUUAAUCGGAAUUACUGGGCGUAAAGCGUGCGCAGGCGGUUUUGUAAGUCUGAUGUGAAAUCCCCGGGCUCAACCUGGGAAUUGCAUUGGAGACUGCAAGGCUAGAAUCUGGCAGAGGGGGGUAGAAUUCCACGUGUAGCAGUGAAAUGCGUAGAUAUGUGGAGGAACACCGAUGGCGAAGGCAGCCCCCUGGGUCAAGAUUGACGCUCAUGCACGAAAGCGUGGGGAGCAAACAGGAUUAGAUACCCUGGUAGUCCACGCCCUAAACGAUGUCUACUAGUUGUCGGGUCUUAAUUGACUUGGUAACGCAGCUAACGCGUGAAGUAGACCGCCUGGGGAGUACGGUCGCAAGAUUAAAACUCAAAGGAAUUGACGGGGACCCGCACAAGCGGUGGAUGAUGUGGAUUAAUUCGAUGCAACGCGAAAAACCUUACCUACCCUUGACAUGGCUGGAAUCCCCGAGAGGUUGGGGAGUGCUCGAAAGAGAACCAGUACACAGGUGCUGCAUGGCUGUCGU